UGCACUGAUUUGAGCACUUCCAACCUGCAAUUAAAAAGCCAGGGGUGAAGACGCAAGCAAGGAGUGGUCUCUCAGCAUAUGUACUUCCUUCAAAAAAGAGCAUGAACCUAAUCCAGCUCAUCAUACGCAACAAGCAAUGGCCCUGGAUAGAAACAUCCCUUCCCAUGUGCAUCAAAAGAUACCUUCAGCAAGUUCAAUGGCAUCAAAAGGACAUCAAAUUUUUGUGCACAAAAAUUAUUUGACAUUUCCCCCCUUCAAUUAAUGCAAAAAGAAACAGCAUUUGAGACGUAUCAGAAGAGAACAUUUCAGUGAACUUCUCAUGGGUGGAGAGUAGAGUUUUGCAUGUUCUUUUCUGACUUUUCAGGUGGCCAAGGGGUUUCUGCAAAUGUUCUUUCUAUCAUUCCAUAAAUCAUCUCUUUAAAAAUC
Molecule: long non-coding RNA, 426 nt
Organism: Rhineura floridana
Lineage: Eukaryota; Metazoa; Chordata; Lepidosauria; Squamata; Rhineuridae
Exons: 2
Source: RefSeq, a predicted model, not a curated record